ACUCUUGUAGGAGGCUUUUUAGGACA
This 26-nucleotide non-coding RNA is filed under the name Cricetulus griseus (Chinese hamster). The record is from RNAcentral. Lineage: Eukaryota; Metazoa; Chordata; Mammalia; Rodentia; Cricetidae.